CUUGGUCAUUUAGAGGAAGUAAAAGUCGUAACAAGGUUUCCGUAGGUGAACCUGCGGAAGGAUCAUUAGUGAAUUAAACAUGCUUGGUGUCUUCGCUUCGGCAAGGCCCUUGCUUAACUCACAUCCCAACACCUGUGAACUGUAAGGCGCAUGACUAGGUUCGCCCAAGUCAUCGUCUGCCCUUUUUAACAAACAAUUAAUGUAACAAACGUAGUCUUAUUAUAACCUAAUAAAACUUUCAACAACGGAUCUCUUGGCUCUCGCAUCGAUGAAGAACGCAGCGAAAUGCGAUAAGUAGUGUGAAUUGCAGAAUUCAGUGAAUCAUCGAAUCUUUGAACGCACCUUGCGCUCUUUGGUAUUCCGAAGAGCAUGCCUGUUUGAGUGUCAUGAAAAUAUCAACCUUGACUUGGGUUUUGUGCUCUAGUCUCGGCUUGGAAUUGGGUGCUUGCCGCUUUUACGAGCGGCUCACCUUAAAUGUAUUAGCUGGAUCUGUCUUUGAGACUUGGUUUGACUUGGCGUAAUAAGUAUUUCGCUAAGGACAUUCUUCGGAGUCGCCUCGUUUCUAGGACGCUUGUCCGCUUUCCAAUACAAGUUCCACCUUGUGGACAUGACUUUUUAUUAUCUGGCCUCAAAUCAGGUAGGACUACCCGCUGAACUUAAGCAUAUCAAUAAGCGGAGGAAAAGAAACUAACAAGGAUUCCCCUAGUAACGGCGAGUGAAGCGGGAAAAGCUCAAAUUUGAAAUCUGGCAGCCUCAGGUUGCCCGAGUUGUAAUCUAUAGAAACGUUUUCCGCGCCGGCCCAUGUACAAGUCCCUUGGAACAGGGCGUCAUAGAGGGUGAGAAUCCCGUCCUUGACACGGACCACCGGUGCUUUGUGAUACGUUUUCAACGAGUCGAGUUGUUUGGGAAU
This 910-nucleotide small RNA is filed under the name uncultured Cryptococcus. RNAcentral describes it as "eukaryotic LSU rRNA". The stretch from base 624 to 910 matches the Rfam family "Eukaryotic large subunit ribosomal RNA", at positions 1 to 281 of the family's 3401-position model. Lineage: Eukaryota; Fungi; Basidiomycota; Tremellomycetes. The record is from RNAcentral.